AGUGAACGCUGGCGGUAGGCCUAACACAUGCAAGUCGAACGGCAGCACAGUAAGAGCUUGCUCUUACGGGUGGCGAGUGGCGGACGGGUGAGGAAUACAUCGGAAUCUACUUUUUCGUGGGGGAUAACGUAGGGAAACUUACGCUAAUACCGCAUACGACCUACGGGUGAAAGCAGGGGAUCUUCGGACCUUGCGCGGUUGAAUGAGCCGAUGUCGGAUUAGCUAGUUGGCGGGGUAAAGGCCCACCAAGGCGGCGAUCCGUAGCUGGUCUGAGAGGAUGAUCAGCCACACUGGAACUGAGACACGGUCCAGACUCCUACGGGAGGCAGCAGUGGGGAAUAUUGGACAAUGGGCGCAAGCCUGAUCCAGCCAUACCGCGUGGGUGAAGAAGGCCUUCGGGUUGUAAAGCCCUUUUGUUGGGAAAGAAAAGCAGCAGGUUAAUACCCCGCUGUUCUGACGGUACCCAAAGAAUAAGCACCGGCUAACUUCGUG
This 492-nucleotide ribosomal RNA is filed under the name uncultured bacterium. Its description in RNAcentral is "partial 16S ribosomal RNA". It matches the Rfam family "Bacterial small subunit ribosomal RNA", at positions 29 to 507 of the family's 1533-position model. The record is from RNAcentral.